This 253-nucleotide ribosomal RNA is filed under the name uncultured bacterium. RNAcentral describes it as "partial 16S ribosomal RNA". It matches the Rfam family "Bacterial small subunit ribosomal RNA", at positions 524 to 776 of the family's 1533-position model. The record is from RNAcentral.
UACGGAGGAUGCAAGCGUUAUCCGGAAUGAUUGGGCGUAAAGGGUCCGCAGGCGGCCCUGUAAGUCUGCUGUUAAAGAGUGAGGCCUAACCUCAUAAAAGCGGUGGAAACUACAGAGCUAGAGUGCGUUCGGGGUAGCAGGAAUUCCUGGUGUAGCGGUGAAAUGCGUAGAGAUCAGGAAGAACACCGGUGGCGAAAGCGUGCUACUAGGCCGUAACUGACACUGAGGGACGAAAGCUAGGGGAGCGAAUGGG